UCCCGUCGGCUGCGCUGUCUGCCAUCAUAGAACAGAGACCCCCUUUCCUGCAGUCCCUCAUUUCCCGAGCAGUUCCCAAAGCCACCUCCGUGGUUUUGGGUAUCUGUUACAGCAACACCCGCUUCCAGGAGCAAAAUCUGUGCCAGAUAGCGCGCGCGGUUGGAGAGACCCUGCCGGCGGGAGACCGUACUGGGAGGUUCCAUGGUUGUGGGGCCGGCUGGGCAGGGCCGGAAGCCGCAGGGCAGGCCCCGGGGAGGGCAGGGGGCUGGCCGGCCUGAGCACUCUGCUCUGUGCUGGUGGAAGGCUCGGCCUGUGGCGAAGGCUCUCACCCGAGAGAACCAGGCCCCUCGGAUUAUCUAGCCAACCGACUGUGGGCCUCAGUCGCGUCCGCACAUCUUCAGCCCCCUAGGCACCCCCUCGGCAACCCCGUGGGACUCCAGCCGUAAGGAACGCGCCCUGUAGCAAGCAGGAAGGAGGAGGGAGUUCAGCGUGGGAACCAUGCACACGACAAGAUGAGGUGUCAGCGCUGGGGUUUCUGCAGGGCUCAGCUCCUUCGGUGGAUGUUUCUGGAUGUCUGUGUUUAAGGCUGUUGUGCCCGGCUUGGCACCAACCCGCUCACCACAGGGGAACCACGACAGCUCCUUCUAGCCUCACAACUCCUCUCGCUGCAUGUGUUUUAGAAGAAGGGUCAUUUGAGCGGCUCUGCCAGGCUGCUGUGGACCAGGACUCAGGUGCAAAGUGCGCUGGAGGGAACGAGAGGAUCUGUCAGGAGAACAGACUUCGUAAGAGGAAGGAGAGAGGACAGGAGGAUUCCGAAUUCUCAGGUCUGUGGGUAGUGAUGCCUUCCACUGUGGCUGAGCUUUGGCUGCCCCAUCGUUCUGGCCCACAGUGCUGGGAGCCUCCCCUCCAGAUGGGCCUCUCCCUUCCCAUGAUCUCAGCUGGAUUCUCUGACCGCCUGGGGCCUGACUCACACAGGCUCCCCGUUCCCUGACCCUCGUCAUCCUGGCUACAGCUCUGUUCCUCUGAAGGGGAGCUGGGUCUGGUCUGCUCUGACCCUGGGGAGAUUCUUGGCACAAUGAAGGGGUGGGGAGGAGGCUGUGGGAGAAGGGAGAUGAGAAGCUUGUGGCGGGGGCUGGAGGGAGAGGCCUCGGGGCCAGCCGUGCAGGGUCUUCGGGGCACUUCCCAAGAGGGGGUCUGUGUACGGCCCCAGCUUUUGGAAGGCCCCCCUGUGAUCAUUGAUGGAGGAAGGCCCAGAGCAAAACCACCUUACUGGAGAGACACGGCAGGAGGAGAAGGAGGAGGAAUGAAGAGACCUGCUUCUUUCCCUCGUCCCACCCGCCGGGCACUGGGGCACCACCAUGGGAGGACACCCCGCCAGGACCCUGCCAGCAGGGGAAGCCGGCUGGGACCGCCGUUUCUAAAGCAAGGAUUUAUGUUCUGGAGACGCAGAAGGAAAACACGAAGAGAUAGAGACUAGAAUGGCAAGUAACACGUGCAAUGAAGAAAGUAGCCUGAGCCUCAGACCCCCUCCCAGCCCAGUCAAGGCCUUCCUGUGACCUCUGACCUAUGAAAUCAUUUCUUCGGUGGAGUCACCCUUCAAGACAAAAGGGUCCGCCCUCCUGGACAAGCUCCCUUGUGACUUUUCUCAGAGACAGUGGAAAAGACCAGUCCUUCCCACCUGUGCAUGGUCCCCUCCAACCCCCUCCCAGCCCCCAUCUGGCUGGAUUCUCACUGCACCCCCGAGAAUUGGGUAUUACUGUCCUCACGUUACAACAGAAAAAGCGAAGGGUCAGAGAGGCAGAGUGACGUUCCUAAAAAGUAUUAUCCUGGUUUCUGAGCUCCCGCCUCUCCCCUCCAGACCUUCCCUCCCAUGCUCUCCUCAGCAAAGUCAGGCCAGACUCUGCAAACCCUCUUCUCUCCUGGCCAGCUGGUGUCCCCUUGGGUUUUGCCAGCAGGAGGCACUUGGGGGAAUACCAGGAGCGGGAUUGGGGAGAAGAAUGCCCGCCUUCUGGUUUUACCUGUUGCUCCUGCAAGUGGCCUCACCUGAGAUCCCAGUCUCUUGGGACCCCAGCUGCCGCAGGUGUUCACUGCUCCCUAGGCUGGUUCUCCAGGCCCGAGGAUCCUCUCCGAAGGAUUGGGUGGGUGGGCAGGUUGGGGGUGGGGUCUCCUGUCCUCCCACAGCUGCUGGGAAAGUGCCACAAAUUCACUUGUUCUCUUAAUUUGUGAAAACUUCCUCCACUUGUCUGUGAAGAGCCGCUCAGAAACACCCUUCUCAUUACAAUGUUAAAUUAAAAUUUAGUAGACGAGGCACAUAGCAGAAUAAACUUUCAAUUAAAAUGUACACACUCCGGUGGUGGAAGGGGGCUGGAGAGAACUUGCAGGCAUCUUUGCUGCGAAUGUGCUCGAGAUUUAAUUUUACUAUGACAUCUCCUUGGAAUUACACUGCUAAUUGAUCACAUUGUGUCUGUCUGUUAUUUAAACUUUCAAUAAAACGGAGAUUAAUGGAAGGUGUAAUCCUCCCGGGCAGAACAAAUAUUCCCAUUGCUCAUGUCAGGUACAGAAAUGGAAAUGCUUGGCUAACAGCUUUUUGCAUUCAAUCUGCGAACAUGAAGUUAAUCAUGAAAAAUGCAGUGAUUCUUUAAUUGCUUGAAUGAAAUUUUUUCUGCCUGCCCCAUUUCUCACCCAAAAUAGCCACCCUUGUUGGAGG
This is a long non-coding RNA of Mirounga angustirostris (Northern elephant seal), 2707 nucleotides long. RefSeq lists it as uncharacterized. The record is from RefSeq and is a predicted model, not a curated record. NCBI's taxonomy places the organism in Eukaryota, Metazoa, Chordata, Mammalia, Carnivora, Phocidae. The transcript has 7 exons.